AAAAAGCUCGUAGUCGAAAUUGUGUCCUCGGCCGCCGGUUCGUCGCUCGCGACGCCAACUGGCGCGCACCGCUGGACGUCCAGCCGGUACAACGAACUCGCCUACGGGGUGCUCUUAACCGAGUGUCCAGGCGGGGGCCGGCAACGUUACUUUGAACAAAUUAAAGUGCUUAAAGCAGGCUAAAUUGCGCUCGCAUACACGCGCAUGGAAUAAUCGAAUAGGACCUCCGUUCUAUUUUGUUGGGUUUUUGUGGAACGACAGACGGAGGUAAUGAUCAAUGGGUGCGGAUGGGGGCAUUCGUAUUGCGACGUUAGAGGUGAAAUUCUUGGAUCGUCGCAAGACGGACUUAAGCGAAAGCAUUUGCCAAAAACGCUUUCAUCGAUCAAGAACGAAAGUUAGAGGUUCGAAGGCGAUCAGAUACCGCCCUAGUUCUAACCAUAAACUAUGCCAGCUAGCGAUCCGCCGAAGUUACUUCUAUGACUCGGCGGGCAGCUUCCGGGAAACCAAAGCUUUCGGGUUCCGGGGGAAGUAUGGUUGCAAAGCUGAAACUUAAAGGAAUUGACGGAAGGGCACCACCAGGAGUGGAGCCUGCGGCUUAAUUUGACUCAACACGGGAAACCUCACCAGGCCCGGACACCGGAAGGAUUGACAGAUUGAGAGCUCUUUCUUGAUUCGGUGGGUGGUGGUGCAUGGCCGUUCUUAGUUGGUGGAGCGAUUUGUCUGGUUAAU
This 729-nucleotide ribosomal RNA is filed under the name Photinus collustrans. Its description in RNAcentral is "SSU rRNA". It matches the Rfam family "Eukaryotic small subunit ribosomal RNA", at positions 621 to 1323 of the family's 1831-position model. RNAcentral also lists the same sequence under 5 other names. The record is from RNAcentral. Lineage: Eukaryota; Metazoa; Arthropoda; Insecta; Coleoptera; Lampyridae.